UGGAGUCAGGUAUAGUUGUGGUUGCUGCCUCCAUUUUUGACGCUAUUGUUGAGGAUUUUGGAGGGCUGGUUGUUGUUAUUGUGAUGUCAGGCAUAGUUGUGGUUGCUGCAUCAGAUGUUGAUGCUGGUGCUAUAGUGGUCGAUGUCAGAGGUGUGGUUGUGGAAGCCAAAACUGUUGUUGCAUCAGUUGUUGUUGUUGUGGUGUCAGGCAGAGUUAUGGUUGAUGCAUCAGUGGUUGACAUUAGAGGGGUGGUUGUGGAAUCCAAAUUUGUUGUUACAUCAGUAAUUGUAGUGGUGUCAGACAGAGCUGUGGUUGAUUCAUCAGUUAUUGUU
Cyprinus carpio (common carp) is the source of this 332-nucleotide long non-coding RNA. NCBI's taxonomy places the organism in Eukaryota, Metazoa, Chordata, Actinopteri, Cypriniformes, Cyprinidae. The record is from Ensembl.